AGUGAACGCUGGCGGUAGACCUAACACAUGCAAGUCGAACGGCAGCACAGUAAGAGCUUGCUCUUACGGGUGGCGAGUGGCGGACGGGUGAGGAAUACAUCGGAAUCUACUUUUUCGUGGGGGAUAACGUAGGGAAACUUACGCUAAUACCGCAUACGACCUACGGGUGAAAGCAGGGGAUCUUCGGACCUUGCGCGAUUGAAUGAGCCGAUGUCGGAUUAGCUAGUUGGCGGGGUAAAGGCCCACCAAGGCGACGAUCCGUAGCUGGUCUGAGAGGAUGAUCAGCCACACUGGAACUGAGACACGGUCCAGACUCCUACGGGAGGCAGCAGUGGGGAAUAUUGGACAAUGGGCGCAAGCCUGAUCCAGCCAUACCGCGUGGGUGAAGAAGGCCUUCGGGUUGUAAAGCCCUUUUGUUGGGAAAGAAAGGCAGCAGGUUAAUACCCCGCUGUUCUGACGGUACCCAAAGAAUAAGCACCGGCUAACCUCGU
Molecule: ribosomal RNA, 491 nt
Filed under: uncultured bacterium
Lineage: Bacteria
Description: partial 16S ribosomal RNA
Rfam family: Bacterial small subunit ribosomal RNA
Source: RNAcentral